Molecule: long non-coding RNA, 575 nt
Filed under: Arachis ipaensis
Lineage: Eukaryota; Viridiplantae; Streptophyta; Magnoliopsida; Fabales; Fabaceae
Description: long non-coding RNA (AIPA_LNC001331)
Source: RNAcentral
AAAAAAAGCGUAGAAACCUAAUUAAAAAAAGAAAUUGAUGCAAGAACUCAAUUAAAAGGAUAAAAAAUAUAGAAACCUAAUUAAAAAUUUUGUAAAAUUAUAGAGACCAACAGAAUAAUUAAACCUUUAUUAUUUUUAGUUAACACUUUAAUCAUCAGUCUAAGAAAAGAUAUAUAUACAAAGUUACAUACCAAGAGAUGAUGAUGAUGAUAACAAUCCUGUUCAUGAACCUCGCAGUCACACUCUUUGCAUCAAUCACGUUUAUAGGAAUAAAUAUCAAAGUAGUGUAGUGUUGGGCUUUUCUCUCCUUUGUGAGAUCCAAACCCAACAUUUUGAAAGUGACUCUUUGUACCCAUUGUGCCACAACCUCCUAUCCAUGAGCCAUGUGAAGCUACAAAAGUAUAAUGAUGUAGGCCAUAAUUGGCUAGGGUGAAAUUGAAAACUCCAACUUUCAUCAACCCUAAGGCUGCGUUUGUUUGUAGAGACAGGACAGAACAUGACACUGAAACGGAGACAAUAGGACGGAGACACUAAAAAUUAUCUUUUGUGUAUUGUGUUUGGAUACGAUGGACAAG